GUCCUACGGGGCGCAGCAGUGAGGAAUAUUGGUCAAUGGGCGGAAGCCUGAACCAGCCAAGUCGCGUGAGGGAAGAAGGCCCUGCGGGUCGCAGACCUCUUUGGACGGGGAGCAAGGCCGCCGACGUGUCGGCGGAAGGAGAGUACCCGUAGAACAAGCAUCGGCUAACUCCGUGCCAGCAGCCGCGGUAAUACGGAGGAUGCGAGCGUUAUCCGGAUUUAUUGGGUUUAAAGGGUGCGUAGGCGGACGGUCAAGUCAGCGGUAAAAAUGCGGGGCUCAACGCCGUACAGCCGUUGAAACUGGCG
This 305-nucleotide ribosomal RNA is filed under the name uncultured bacterium. Its description in RNAcentral is "bacterial SSU rRNA". It matches the Rfam family "Bacterial small subunit ribosomal RNA", at positions 335 to 638 of the family's 1533-position model. The record is from RNAcentral.